GGUCGAUUAGCUUAGUCGGUAGAGCGUGGUACUAAUAUCGUCAGCUGCCUGCAAAGGAUGUCAAUGCCAAGGUCAUGGGUUCGAUCCCCAUAUUGACCA
Puccinia graminis f. sp. tritici is the source of this 99-nucleotide transfer RNA. It matches the Rfam family "tRNA". From Rfam's summary of the family: Transfer RNA (tRNA) molecules are approximately 80 nucleotides in length. Their secondary structure includes four short double-helical elements and three loops (D, anti-codon, and T loops). Further hydrogen bonds mediate the characteristic L-shaped molecular structure. tRNAs have two regions of fundamental functional importance: the anti-codon, which is responsible for specific mRNA codon recognition, and the 3' end, to which the tRNAs corresponding amino acid is attached (by aminoacyl-tRNA synthetases). tRNAs cope with the degeneracy of the genetic code in two manners: having more than one tRNA (with a specific anti-codon) for a particular amino acid; and 'wobble' base-pairing, i.e. permitting non-standard base-pairing at the 3rd anti-codon position. Lineage: Eukaryota; Fungi; Basidiomycota; Pucciniomycetes; Pucciniales; Pucciniaceae. The record is from Rfam.